AGAGUUUGAUCCUGGCUCAGAACGAACGCUGGCGGCAGGCUUAACACAUGCAAGUCGAGCGAAGAGCCUUACUUCGGUUUGGUUUCUUAGCGGCGGACGGGUGAGUAACGCGUGGGAACGUGCCCUUGGGUAAGGAACAACAGUUGGAAACGGCUGCUAAUACCUUAUGAUGUCUUCGGACCAAAGAUUUAUCGCCCAGGGAUCGGCCCGCGUUGGAUUAGGUAGUUGGUGGGGUAAUGGCCUACCAAGCCUACGAUCCAUAGCUGGUUUGAGAGGAUGAUCAGCCACACUGGGACUGAGACACGGCCCAGACUCCUACGGGAGGCAGCAGUGGGGAAUCUUGGACAAUGGGGGCAACCCUGAUCCAGCCAUGCCGCGUGAACGAUGAAGGCCUUAGGGUUGUAAAGUUCUUUCACCGGGGAAGAUAAUGACGGUACCCGGAGAAGAAGCCCCGGCUAACUCCGUGCCAGCAGCCGCGGUAAUACGGAGGGGGCUAGCGUUGUUCGGAAUUACUGGGCGUAAAGCGCGCGUAGGCGGAUUGUUAAGUCGGGGGUGAAAUCCCGGGGCUCAACCCCGGAACUGCCUCCGAUACUGGCAGUCUAGAGGUCGAGAGAGGUGAGUGGAAUUCCGAGUGUAGAGGUGAAAUUCGUAGAUAUUCGGAGGAACACCAGUGGCGAACGCGGCUCACUGGCUCGAUUCUGACGCUGAAGUGCGAAAGCGUGGGGAGCAAACAGGAUUAGAU
This 742-nucleotide ribosomal RNA is filed under the name uncultured bacterium. Its description in RNAcentral is "bacterial SSU rRNA". It matches the Rfam family "Bacterial small subunit ribosomal RNA", at positions 8 to 783 of the family's 1533-position model. The record is from RNAcentral.